GUACACAAAAAUGCACAUACUGUGAGCUCGAUGAGUAGGGCGGGACACGUGGUAUCCUGUCUGAAUAUGGGGGGACCAUCCUCCAAGGCUAAAUACUCCUGACUGACCGAUAGUGAACCAGUACCGUGAGGGAAAGGCGAAAAGAACCCCGGCGAGGGGAGUGAAAAAGAACCUGAAACCGUGUACGUACAAGCAGUGGGAGCCUCUUAAUGGGGUGACUGCGUACCUUUUGUAUAAUGGGUCAGCGACUUAUAUUCUGUAGCAAGGUUAACCGAAUAGGGGAGCCGAAGGGAAACCGAGUCUUAACUGGGCGUUAAGUUGCAGGGUAUAGACCCGAAACCCGGUGAUCUAGCCAUGGGCAGGUUGAAGGUUGGGUAACACUAACUGGAGGACCGAACCGACUAAUGUUGAAAAAUUAGCGGAUGACUUGUGGCUGGGGGUGAAAGGCCAAUCAAACCGGGAGAUAGCUGGUUCUCCCCGAAAGCUAUUUAGGUAGCGCCUCGUGAAUUCAUCUCCGGGGGUAGAGCACUGUUUCGGCAAGGGGGUCAUCCCGACUUACCAACCCGAUGCAAACUGCGAAUACCGGAGAAUGUUAUCACGGGAGACACACGGCGGGUGCUAACGUCCGUCGUGAAGAGGGAAACAACCCAGACCGC
This 656-nucleotide ribosomal RNA is filed under the name Escherichia coli. Its description in RNAcentral is "partial 23S ribosomal RNA". It matches the Rfam family "Bacterial large subunit ribosomal RNA", at positions 375 to 1035 of the family's 2925-position model. Lineage: Bacteria; Pseudomonadati; Pseudomonadota; Gammaproteobacteria; Enterobacterales; Enterobacteriaceae. The record is from RNAcentral.